The submitters of this non-coding RNA (338 nucleotides) gave its source as unclassified sequences. The record is from Rfam.
AGCACUCGCCAAUAGUGCUAUAUAAAUAGAAAACGAUUGUAUAGUUUCGUCUAGGGUUUCGUACAGCCAACGCAUAAAAUGCACGGGGAUUAAUUCUAUGGAUCUAUUUCAAAUAGAUUAACCCCUAAAGGGUAGAAGAUGUAGCGAAGCCCAUUCUGUUUAGCGAUGAAAUAACAGAUAAAUUAGCUACAAUGGGUAUGGUUUAAUCGCCGGAGUUAGAUUCCGGAUAGUUGCGAAAGUAACGGGAUUAUAUAGGUAUAUUAGCAAUAAUAUAACAAGUAGGGCAUGGAUUAAGACGCUUGAUAAUAUAUACAGCUGUAGAAGGCUGACUUUAAAUA